RNAcentral lists this ribosomal RNA (401 nucleotides) under Bacteroidota bacterium. RNAcentral describes it as "Bacteroidetes bacterium partial 16S ribosomal RNA". It matches the Rfam family "Bacterial small subunit ribosomal RNA", at positions 355 to 775 of the family's 1533-position model. The record is from RNAcentral. Lineage: Bacteria; Pseudomonadati; Bacteroidota.
UGGGGAAUUUUGCACAAUGGGGGAAACCCUGAUGCAGCGACGCCGCGUGAUUUAGAAGGCCUUCGGGUUGUAAAAAUCUUUUCUAUGGGAAGAAAAUGACAGUACCAUAGGAAUAAGGACCGGCUAAUUACGUGCCAGCAGCCGCGGUAAUACGUAAGGUCCGAGCGUUGUCCGGAAUCAUUGGGCGUAAAGGGUACGUAGGCGGGUAAGCAAGUUAGAAGUGAAAUCCUGUAGCUCAACUACAGUAAGCUUUUAAAACUGCUCAUCUUGAGAUAUGGAAGGGAAAGUGGAAUUCCUAGUGUAGCGGUGAAAUGCGCAGAUAUUAGGAGGAAUACCGGUGGCGAAGGCGACUUUCUGGCCAUAAUCUGACGCUGAGGUACGAAAGCGUGGGUAGCAAACAG